GAACGCUAGCGGCAGGCUUAACACAUGCAAGUCGAGGGGCAGCGCGGAGUAGCAAUACUCUGGCGGCGACCGGCGGAAGGGUGCGUAACGCGUGAGCAACAUGCCCGUAUCAGGAGGAUAACCGAUGGAAACGUCGCCUAAUACUCCAUAACAACAUGGGGGACAUCCCUUGUGUUUGAAAGCUUUUGGCGGAUACGGAUUGGCUCGCGUGACAUUAGCUAGUUGGCGGGGUAACGGCCCACCAAGGCGACGAUGUCUAGGGGUUCUGAGAGGAAGGUCCCCCACACUGGAACUGAGACACGGUCCAGACUCCUACGGGAGGCAGCAGUGAGGAAUAUUGGUCAAUGGGCGCAAGCCUGAACCAGCCAUGCCGCGUGAAGGAAUGAGGCCCUAUGGGUCGUAAACUUCUUUUGUGGUGGAGCAAUAAGGCGUACGUGUACGCCGAUGAGAGUACAUCACGAAUAAGCAUCGGCUAACUACGUGCC
RNAcentral lists this ribosomal RNA (485 nucleotides) under uncultured organism. RNAcentral's name for it is "SSU rRNA". It matches the Rfam family "Bacterial small subunit ribosomal RNA", at positions 31 to 509 of the family's 1533-position model. The record is from RNAcentral.